This 683-nucleotide ribosomal RNA is filed under the name Antherospora vaillantii. RNAcentral describes it as "LSU rRNA". It matches the Rfam family "Eukaryotic large subunit ribosomal RNA", at positions 38 to 683 of the family's 3401-position model. Lineage: Eukaryota; Fungi; Basidiomycota; Ustilaginomycetes; Urocystidales; Floromycetaceae. The record is from RNAcentral.
GCAUAUCAAUAAGCGGAGGAAAAGAAACUAACAAGGAUUCCCCUAGUAACGGCGAGUGAAGAGGGAAGAGCCCAAGUUUGGAAGCUGGCAUUUGUAUUCAGAUGUCUGCAUUGUAAACUCAAGAAGUGUUUUCUGUGCUGGAUCAAAUUCAAGUCCCUUGGAAUAGGGCAUCAUAGAGGGUGAAAGUCCCGUGCUUGAUUUGAAACCCCCAGGGCUUUGUGAUACACUUUCCAAGAGUCGAGUUGUUUGGGAAUGCAGCUCAAAAUGGGUGGUAAAUGCCAUCUAAGGCUAAAUAUUGAGGAGAGACCGAUAGUGAACAAGUACCGUGAGGGAAAGAUGAAAAGAACUUUGGAAAGAGAGUUAAACAGUACGUGAAAUUGCCGGAAGGGAAGGGUAGGAAGUCAGACAUGCCUUUGCAGAUUCAGCCUUGUGCUUUAUUGGACUUGGUGCAUUUUUGUAUUGGCUUGCUAGCAUUGGUUUGUAUUGACAGAUAUAGGCUUAGGGAAUGUGGCUUAGCUUUCGGGCAAAGUGUUAUAGCCCUUUGCUGAGUAUGACAAUAUAGACCAAGGAUUGCAGCGCACCCACUUUAGGGCGGGCCUUUUGGGGCACCUUUGCGCUUAGGAUGCUGGCUUAAUGGCUUUCUGCCACCCGUCUUGAAACACGGACCAAGGAGUCUAACAUGU